GGGGGGCCCAUCCCCUCUCGGGGCGCGCGCCCCGUCGCCCCCGCGCAUGCGCGCGCCAUUUCCGACCCUCGCGAGGCUUGGUUGUUGACGAGCUCGCGCGAAAAGACGCUGUGGGGUCGCGAGGGCCCCGGGCUGCGUGGACGUUCCGGCGGCUGGGCGGGAGGUCGGUGUUGUCCGUUUCUGCGCUACUGGCUUUUCUGUUCCCGAUUAUCUGACGUGUUUUGUCCCGUCUUCCGCUCCUCCUGGACUCAGGUUGUAACCACAAUCGCCCGACUCCCUAGCUUUCUCAUCUCCUCCUUGUCUAGCCCCCUUGGGGUCCCAAUCGUAUUCCAGCCGUUCAUAUAUUCUUUAAAUGGUCAGCGGAGAAGCCUGCAAAAGAGAAAUAAGCUACUGUGUUAAAAAGCUGAUUUGUCGUAGUCGGCAGGAUUCGAACCUGCGCGGGGAGACCCCAAUGGAUUUCUAGUCCAUCGCCUUAACCACUCGGCCACGACUACUACUGGUGGUGGUUUUGGCAGUGAGAUCUAUGUAGAGCCUGCACACAAGUGUCUACUCUAGUAACAGGUUUUCAUCACGAGGAAAACACUACGGAGCUGUUCUGUCAGAUUAAGCGCACAUUUGAAUGUUGUAGCUCUUAAUAAUUUUAUCUUCUCAGAGGGGAUCUUGAGAGUAUCGCCAAUGAGAGAAAAACUGAAUUUUAGUAAAAUCGCUAGUUAGUCAGAAAACAAGAGAGAGGGAAAAAAGGUUGGUGCUGCUGUAGACUGGCUUGCAGAGUUGUGCGUUUUCCCGGAGCUAACUGGGAAUCUUAGGGCCCCGGAUCAGCCUCCCGGCCUCCUUGCGUGAUCAGCUCCACUCCCCCGCCGCCUUCUAAGCACAAACAGUUCCAGGACUCUUUUUCCCCACUACGCACUAAAAUAGUGUUCCCCACUGAUAUAAAUUGACUAUGCAGGGCUAGAAUGUCCCACAGUGUCUUAAAGACACUGCUCGGAAAAGUACGAUGUGUAAUACACCUGCAAGGUAUGGUCUCUCCUGUAAAUACUAUGUAUGCACAAUGAAACCUGAACUUUUUAGUAUUUCUGAAGGAGAAUUGCAAAGAGGUUGGCAGCCUUGGAAACUCUGGAGAUACUUUUAUCGAAAUGAAUUAGUAGCUUCAUUUACUUGGUUUUUUUGUUGUCUGUUCAUAAUAUCUAUUAAAGAACUCGCGGGAAAAGACACGGUGGGGUUAGAGAUAUUAAAGAUAUUCUGAACAGACAACAUAUGAUGGAGCAAAUGUAGAGCCAACCUUUAAAUAUUCAUGACUUUUGAGAGCCAGUUGUUAAAUGCAACCACUAUUAAAAAAUUAAAUUAUGAAAAAAAAUUAAAUUAUGUAAACUUAGUUAAAUUAACUAUAUUGAAAAACAAAAGCAGUAGUCAAAAUUCACCAAGGUCUGGUUAUUACCCUACAUUUUAUUGUAAUUUAUGUUUGAGAUUAUUUACAUCUGUUGUAUCUGAAAUAGUAAACAGUGGGCCAUUGUUAUGAAUCUCUUCAUAACUUCCCAUUCAGUGAUGUCACUUGGGUAGCUUGAAAUUAGGCUUCCUGGGUGUAUUUACACCAGGGAAAUUGCAAAUGGUACAAGAUAUUUUUCUCGCUAGAGCUAGUUGUCAGACGCUUAUCAUCAUGUCACUAAUAUUUACCACCAGGCAAAUCUUGAAUAUUCCCAGCAAGGCAACAUUCCCCUUACCUGUCAGGCUUCCCUGGUUGUUAUUUUAACUAUCAGAAUCUUGUCGUAUAGUAUGACGUCCCACUCAGUAUACUGAUAUUUUGUUUUGUUUUUCCCCAACUUGCCUUGCUGGGUGAUUUCUACUCAGAACUGACCUCCAGCAGAAAGACAGGAAUAAGCCACUUGAUACUGAAAUUACCCUUGCAAUAUGGUUCCUGGGGGAGUUGCCAUACAGUUUCAUACACUUAAGUUAAUAAUUUGAUUUUUCUUUAGAAAAGAUGAAAUCUGAGGUAUACCAUCAGUAGUUGAAAGACUUAGCAUGUAGAUUUGCAUGAAGGACUAUGAAAGAUAAAAGAGGAAGUGUUUCUAAUUUUGUGUUUUGUUUAUAUGAAUAUUAGAAAAAUGAAGCUUCUUUCCUUCUUCCUCUACUCCCACCCCCAUUUUGGUGUGUAGAUAUCAUGUGUAGAUCAUCCAGAGGUAGGUGUUUUGAGAAUUUGUCUUACAGCUCAUCAACUCUUUGGAACUUCUGACUUCAGUUGUGUUGUCUUUCUGGCUUUAGAGAAAGUCAAGUUCAAUGUCUACAGUGAGAAAUGCCAUAUACACAUAUGUGGAUGGCUGUGUGAUAAACUGGAAAAUGAAAGCACACUAUUAAAAAUCUCCAGGGAGUUCCCUGGUGGCCUAGUGGUUAACAUUCCAGACUUCACUGUGGUGGCCCAAGUUCAAGCCCUGGUGGAGGAACUGAAAUCCUGCAGCGCGGCCAAAAAAAAAAAAGAGAAAAACUCAGGAUGUCAGGAGCAAUACCUGGUGCACUGCAGUGGACUCAAGCAAUGGAGUAGGCUGUACAUGGUGAAAAGCUUUCUCAAGUGGAUGCCAUUUUCCUGUAAGGAGGCUUAAGAAGGGGAGCAAAGAAGCAAAUCAUCCACAUAUUGCAACAAAAGAAGGAAGCUCUCAGGGACUUUAUAUCAACCAGAUCAGCCUUCAGGAUUUGCAAGAAAUAAAGACUUCGUAAAAGCCUGAGGCAUUACUGUCCAGGUGAAUUCUUCUCCUUCCCAAGUGAAGGCAAAAAGGACAGGAGGUCCUGGUAAGGAACAGGGAACUAAUAAGCCACCACCAACUGGAAGAGUGUGGGAAAGGUCAAAAGGAGAUGCCACGUGUUCUUCUACCUCCCAGCAUCCUUCUCGUUGGCAUCCAUCUUGCCUGAGCAAUGCAUGCACGACCAGGAAGGACCCUGAGUCAGAAUGAUUGACCAAAGACAACCUGGAAACUAAUCCCAUCACCAUAAAACCUGAGACUUUGAGCCACAUGGGUUUCCUUACCCUCUAGCUCUCUGCCUGGACACUCCUUCCCAAUAAAGUCUUUUACUUUG
Cervus elaphus (red deer) is the source of this 3063-nucleotide long non-coding RNA. RefSeq lists it as uncharacterized. The transcript has 3 exons. Lineage: Eukaryota; Metazoa; Chordata; Mammalia; Artiodactyla; Cervidae. The record is from RefSeq and is a predicted model, not a curated record.